AGUGAACGCUGGCGAUAGGCCUAACACAUGCAAGUCGAACGGCAGCACAGUAAGAGCUUGCUCUUACGGGUGGCGAGUGGCGGACGGGUGAGGAAUACAUCGGAAUCUACUUUUUCGUGGGGGAUAACGUAGGGAAACUUACGCUAAUACCGCAUACGACCUACGGGUGAAAGCAGGGGAUCUUCGGACCUUGCGCGAUUGAAUGAGCCGAUGUCGGAUUAGCUAGUUGGCGGGGUAAAGGCCCACCAAGGCGACGAUCCGUAGCUGGUCCGAGAGGAUGAUCAGCCACACUGGAACUGAGACACGGUCCAGACUCCUACGGGAGGCAGCAGUGGGGAAUAUUGGACAAUGGGCGCAAGCCUGAUCCAGCCAUACCGCGUGGGUGAAGAAGGCCUUCGGGUUGUAAAGCCCUUUUGCUGGGAAAGAAAAGCAGCAGGUUAAUACCCCGCUGUUCUGACGGUACCCAAAGAAUAAGCACCGGCUAACUUCGUG
RNAcentral lists this ribosomal RNA (492 nucleotides) under uncultured bacterium. RNAcentral's name for it is "partial 16S ribosomal RNA". It matches the Rfam family "Bacterial small subunit ribosomal RNA", at positions 29 to 507 of the family's 1533-position model. The record is from RNAcentral.